GAUCUUGCGACAAUGGGCGAAAGCCUGACGCAGCAACGCCGCGUGCGGGAGGACGGCNNNCGGGUNGUAAAGUACUUUUGGCANGGANGAAAAGGUAUCCCCUAAUACGGGAUACUGCUGACGGUAUCUGCAGAAUAAGCACCGGCUAACUACGUGCCAGCAGCCGCGGUAAUACGUAGGGUGCAAGCGUUAAUCGGAAUUACUGGGCGUAAAGCGUGCGCAGGCGGUUCGGAAAGAAGGAUGUGAAAUCCCAGGGCUCAACCUUGGAACUGCAUUCUUAACUACCGAACUAGAGUAUGUCAGAGGGGGGUAGAAUUCCGCGUGUAGCAGUGAAAUGCGUAGAUAUGCGGAGGAAUACCGAUGGCGAAGGCAGCCCCCUGGGAUAAUACUGACGCUCAUGCACGAAAGCGUGGGUAGCAAACAGG
Molecule: ribosomal RNA, 425 nt
Filed under: uncultured bacterium
Lineage: Bacteria
Description: partial 16S ribosomal RNA
Rfam family: Bacterial small subunit ribosomal RNA
Source: RNAcentral